UACGGGAGGCAGCAGGGGGAAUAUUGCACAAUGGGCGAAAGCCUGAUGCAGCUAUGCCGCGUGUAUGAAGAAGGCCUUAGGGUUGUAAAGUACUUUCAUCGGGGAGGAAAAACAAAACUAAUAAUUUUAUUUCUUGACGUUACCCGAAAAAGAAGCACCGGCUAACUCCGUGCCAGCAGCCGCGGUAAUACGGAGGGUGCUAGCGUUAAUCAGAAUUACUGGGCGUAAAGAGCACGUAGGUGGUUUUUUUAAGUCAGAUGUGAAAUCCCUGGGCUUAACCUAGGAACUGCAUUUUGAAACUGAAAUACUAGAGUAUCGUAGAGGGAGGUAGAAUUCUAGGUGUAGCGGUGAAAUGCGUAGAUAUCUGGAGGAAUACCUGUGGCGAAAGCGGCCUCCUAAACGAAUACUGACACUGAGGUGCGAAAGCGUGGGGAGCGAAACAGGGAUUAGAUACC
This 455-nucleotide ribosomal RNA is filed under the name uncultured bacterium. RNAcentral describes it as "bacterial SSU rRNA". It matches the Rfam family "Bacterial small subunit ribosomal RNA", at positions 340 to 786 of the family's 1533-position model. The record is from RNAcentral.